GGGAACGGGUUUCCGGAAUUAUUGGGCGUAAGAGCUCGUAGGCGGUUUGUCGCGUCUGCCGUGAAAGUCCGGGGCUCAACUCCGGAUCUGCGGUGGGUACGGGCAGACUAGAGUGAUGUAGGGGAGACUGGAAUUCCUGGUGUAGCGGUGAAAUGCGCAGAUAUCAGGAGGAACACCGAUGGCGAAGGCAGGUCUCUGGGCAUUAACUGACGCUGAGGAGCGAAAGCAUGGGGAGCGAACAGGAUUAGAUACCCUGGUAGUCCAUGCCGUAAACGUUGGGCACUAGGUGUGGGGGACAUUCCACGUUUUCCGCGCCGUAGCUAACGCAUUAAGUGCCCCGCCUGGGGAGUACGGCCGCAAGGCUAAAACUCAAAGGAAUUGACGGGGGCCCGCACAAGCGGCGGAGCAUGCGGAUUAAUUCGAUGCAACGCGAAGAACCUUACCAAGGCUUGACAUGAACCGGUAAUACCUGGGAACAGGUGCCCCGCUUGCGGUCGGUUUACAGGUGGUGCAUGGUUGUCGUCAGCUCGUGUCGUGAGAUGUUGGGUUAAGUCCCGCAACGAGCGCAACCCUCGUUCUAUGUUGCCAGCACGUGAUGGUGGGGACUCAUAGGAGACUGCCGGGGUCAACUCGGAGGAAGGUGGGGACGACGUCAAAUCAUCAUGCCCCUUAUGUCUUGGGCUUCACGCAUGCUACAAUGGCCGGUACAAAGGGUUGCGAUACUGUGAGGUGGAGCUAAUCCCAAAAAGCCGGUCUCAGUUCGGAUUGGGGUCUGCAACUCGACCCCAUGAAGUCGGAGUCGCUAGUAAUCGCAGAUCAGCAACGCUGCGGUGAAUACGUUCCCGGGCCUUGUACACACCGCCCGUCAAGUCACGAAAGUUGGUAACACCCGAAGCCGGUGGCCUAACCCCUUGUGGGAGGGAGCUGUCGAAAGUGGGACUGGCGAUUGGGACUAAGUCGUAACAAGGUAACC
RNAcentral lists this ribosomal RNA (973 nucleotides) under uncultured bacterium. RNAcentral describes it as "bacterial SSU rRNA". It matches the Rfam family "Bacterial small subunit ribosomal RNA", at positions 533 to 1501 of the family's 1533-position model. The record is from RNAcentral.